GCACUUACCUGGACGGGGUCAAUGGGUGAUCAAGAAGACCCAUGGCCUGGAUUAGUGGCCUCCAUUGCACUUGGGAGGAGCAUUGGUCCAUCAUCUCCUCUGAUAGGAGAAUGGAUGUCUAAAAUAUUUCAAAGCAUAUGUUUGAAUUUUGUUCAUGUUUGUGAGUGUUUGAUCAUAAUUUGUGAUAGAGGGGGUACGCGUCCACGCGGCCCUUG
Molecule: small nuclear RNA, 215 nt
Filed under: Triticum turgidum subsp. durum (durum wheat)
Lineage: Eukaryota; Viridiplantae; Streptophyta; Magnoliopsida; Poales; Poaceae
Also listed under: 1 other name
Description: Triticum durum (durum wheat) U1 spliceosomal RNA
Rfam family: U1 spliceosomal RNA
About the family: U1 is a small nuclear RNA (snRNA) component of the spliceosome (involved in pre-mRNA splicing). Its 5' end forms complementary base pairs with the 5' splice junction, thus defining the 5' donor site of an intron. There are significant differences in sequence and secondary structure between metazoan and yeast U1 snRNAs, the latter being much longer (568 nucleotides as compared to 164 nucleotides in human).
Source: Rfam by way of RNAcentral